This 116-nucleotide ribosomal RNA is filed under the name Paramormyrops kingsleyae. The record is from RNAcentral. Lineage: Eukaryota; Metazoa; Chordata; Actinopteri; Osteoglossiformes; Mormyridae.
UGUGCAGCCAUACCACCUGCAGUUCAGACUAGGUAAUCCAUCUGAAACCAAGUAGGUUUGGGCCUGACCAGUGCAUGAAUGGGAGACCAAUUAGGAAAGCUGGGUUGCUGCUAGAA